Cynara cardunculus var. scolymus (artichoke) is the source of this 844-nucleotide long non-coding RNA. RefSeq lists it as uncharacterized. NCBI's taxonomy places the organism in Eukaryota, Viridiplantae, Streptophyta, Magnoliopsida, Asterales, Asteraceae. The transcript is spliced from 4 exons. The record is from RefSeq and is a predicted model, not a curated record.
AAUUUCAAUCAGCAGAACCUGAUGUUCAUAGAUUUAAAGAGAAUCCUUUUGGCCAACAACAAUUUAUUGCAAAGUAUAAUUGGUGAGCAGAGGGUGUUUUCUUAUUACCAGUUGUGUUUGCCACAUCGGUGAAGUUAUCACUGGAGGGAGAGCCUGAGCUGGAACUGUUGUUUUUGACCCCAACAAUGCCCGAAGAGUGAUCAGAGUUAGCAAUAGCCAAGUAGUCUGCAGGAAGUAGUUCACCAUUCUGGUUGGCUUCUCUCAUUGCAUGUUUAGGAGUGUAAUCAUUUAGGGUUCCUCUUGUCCUCCAUCUGGAGCCACAAGCAUUGCACAGUACCGGCUUUUCCGGUGGUCCAUUCCUCCACAAUGGGGUCUCUGUUCAACAUUCUAAUCCAUCAGUGUCUUGGAGAAUUCACUUUACAUUAAGGGAGGAGAGAAGUGGGAAGAAAGGAUUCCAUGAGGAGGCAACCUAAGGCCGUUUUCAUGGCCUUUGGGACGAAAGGCGAUGUGUAUCCUAUAGCUGCAAUUGCUGCAGCUUUUGCUUGUGACCAGGUGCAUUACCAUGUGGUUUUUAUAACGCACUCUGCACAUGAGGUUUGUUCAAUACUUGCUGGUGGUAGCAGUACAGGGUCCAACCGUCUUGCCCUCUGAUAUACUCCUGUUUCAGAUAUCUUUCCAUAUUGUAGUUAAUUUUUUACCCCUUUAAUGUACCUUUUUUAAAGUGGUAAAAAUUCAAGUGUAAAACGUAUAUAUCUCACCUUUUGUCAGAGUAGACCGACCUUAAUACUAGGUCUCCUUUCCAUUUUUACCCUUAUACUUAAUGCACAUGAAUUGUUUUAAACCA